RNAcentral lists this unclassified non-coding RNA (385 nucleotides) under uncultured Phycisphaeraceae bacterium. Its description in RNAcentral is "contains 16S-23S intergenic spacer region". The record is from RNAcentral. Lineage: Bacteria; Pseudomonadati; Planctomycetota; Phycisphaerae; Phycisphaerales; Phycisphaeraceae.
UCCGGUUUGACACCGGCAGUCUCGUUAAAGUGCUGGCUUGCGCCGUGGCAACUAACGACAGGGGUUUCGCUCGUUAAGGGACUUAACCCGACACUUCACAGCACGAGCUGACGACAGCCAUGCAGCACCUGUGCACGUUUCACUCGUGAGAGCAGCUUACUCGGCUUUCACCGAGGGCAUCCGUGCAUGUCAAGCCUUGGAUAAGGUUCUUCGCGUUGCUUCGAAUUAAGCCACAUGCUCCACCGCUUGUGUGAGCCCCCGUCAAUUCCUUUGAGUUUUAGCCUUGCGACCGUACUCCCCAGGCGGUGCACUUAACACUUUAGCUUCGACCAUGAGGGCGUCAGAGCCUCCACGAUCUAGUGCACAUCGUUUAGGGCGUGGACUA